Methyloversatilis sp. RAC08 is the source of this 182-nucleotide non-coding RNA. It matches the Rfam family "6S / SsrS RNA". From Rfam's summary of the family: E. coli 6S RNA was the first non coding RNA to be sequenced, but its function was unknown until recently. It consists of 184 nucleotides that fold into an extended hairpin structure with a large single-stranded internal bulge. Lineage: Bacteria; Pseudomonadati; Pseudomonadota; Betaproteobacteria; Nitrosomonadales; Sterolibacteriaceae. The record is from Rfam.
AAUCCCCUGCGGUGUUCGCCAAGGUCAUAGAUUCCUUGAACCAAUGUUGAUUGGCAUGAGGUUGCGAACCUAGGACGCCGCUGUUGUGCCGGCCCUUCACGGGCUGGCCUGAUGCGGCAGGAACGCAGCCGCUCUGAACCCUCGGUUCAGGAUGCCGGCCUAGCGACAUGCGCGGGGGUCCC